UUAAAUUAAUCACACAAAAAUUAAUACAGUAUAAUGUAGUACCAAACAUUAUGCAGUAUUAUUAUAAUACAGUACUAAUAUAAUACAGUGUGCCAAAUGCACCCAUAGAGCACUAUAGCACAGUUGCAGAAGUGGUUUGGUUAUUGUCUUAGCUCCCUAAUUUAAAGCUGCAACUCAUAUCUAAACCAAGGAUACAAUAGGAUGACAACCCAAGCGUCACUGCCUUUGUGUUUGAUGAAAUGAAUCAGGUGCUCGAUCAAAUGUCUCACUGGAACUUCAACAACACUGAUUGAAAUAGUGACUCAGCAAGAAUUAAGGAUAUGAUCUUGGGAGAUGACGGUAGGUGGCCAUCUGAUAAAACAGGCAUCAGCAGUCCCUUGUAAAGAUAGAGAAUUAUAGACAUUAGAUCAAAUUAGUUUUAUAAAUAGGAUCAAGUUCACAGCUGAAAUUUUACACUACUUGACGAAGAAGAAACAAUACUUGGGAAAUUAUGAAAUCAGUAGGCUAAUUUUACAAUUUAUACGUGCGUAAUUCUUAAACCAGCUUUGCCCACACGAUAGAUCUUUAGGGCGUAUUAUAAAGCUAUAAUCAUGAACAUUGUGUAGCCCUAAAGUCUUUGUGCCCAAUAAAGAGAUACAACAAUGCUCUUUCGUUUUAGUUUUAUGCCCACUAACUAAUCAAAUCAUGGAGCAAGAUAUUUUUUUUGUUAUUUUGGUGUAUACUUUACUUUUGAAAGUGGAAGACUCUUUCUCGGUCCAAAUCACUUCAGCCAUAAUGUGAAAAUUGAAACUUUAGAGCAUGACAUAAAUUGCCACUUUCUCGAGGAGAAUGAAAAGGCCCGAUAACUAUACAAUUUUCAUAGAGUGAAGCUUUAAACAACUAUUAAGAUCUUCAUAACAUACAUUUUGAAUUUUAUUUCUUAAAUUCCCUCAUUUUAGUUUAUUAAAAAAAAUGCAGUAAUAUUAGGAGCUAGUAAUA
Molecule: long non-coding RNA, 978 nt
Filed under: Citrus x clementina
Lineage: Eukaryota; Viridiplantae; Streptophyta; Magnoliopsida; Sapindales; Rutaceae
Description: Citrus clementina (C. clementina) long non-coding RNA (CCLE_LNC006418)
Source: RNAcentral